Molecule: long non-coding RNA, 458 nt
Organism: Mauremys reevesii (Reeves's turtle)
Lineage: Eukaryota; Metazoa; Chordata; Testudines; Geoemydidae
Exons: 3
Source: RefSeq, a predicted model, not a curated record
CUCAAGGCAAAUUGCACCCCUUGCUUGACUCCUUGAAUGCUGUCUCCAGCCUUCAAUUGGGCACAGUAUUUUUUUUCAAGGUGCAUGAGGCUCCUCUCCUCUGCAGUGAGGAGGCAGAGUGAAAGCACUUCAGGAGGACAGAGGUCUCACAGGGUCUUUAAAAAGAAGAUGGUCAAACUGGAGAAGACUAAAGAGCAGAAAGCCAGUUGAAGGUAGCUGAGGAAGCAUGGACUACAUCAAUCAAACCAACCUAUAGGAAUUUUGGUCCAUGUUCCUGCCAACUAGGAUUACUCCUUAGUGUACAUUUUCAAGUGAUUUGUCCAAUCAAGUGAAAUCAAAAGCCUCACGUGGGCAAAAACACUGCCUAGAAUUUUUUUUUUAAAUGAUUAGCUGCUUGAGUUCCGUAAACUCAAAGUGUAAAUAAUAUAAGAUUAUAUACUGGACUCGUGUUAUUAGCU